Molecule: ribosomal RNA, 468 nt
Filed under: uncultured bacterium
Lineage: Bacteria
Description: partial 16S ribosomal RNA
Rfam family: Bacterial small subunit ribosomal RNA
Source: RNAcentral
GACGAACGCUGGCGGCGUGCUUAACACAUGCCAGUCGAACGGAAAGGCCCUGCUUUUGUGGGGUGCUCGAGUGGCGAACGGGUGAGUAACACGUGAGUAACCUGCCCUUGACUUUGGGAUAACUUCAGGAAACUGGGUCUAAUACCGGAUAGGAGCUCCUGCUGCAUGGUGGGGGUUGGAAAGUUUCGGCGGUUGGGGAUGGACUCGCGGCUUAUCAGCUUGUUGGUUGGGUAGUGGCUUACCAAGGCUUUGCCGGGUAGCCGGCCUGGGAGGGUGACCGGCCACAUUGGGACUGAGAUACGGCCCAGACUACUACGGGAGGGAGCAGAGGGGAAUAUUGCACAAUGGGCGGAAGCCUGAUGCAGCAACGCCGCGUGCGGGAUGACGGCCUUCGGGUUGUAAACCGCUUUCGCCUGUGACGAAGCGUGAGUGACGGUAAUGGGUAAAGAAGCACCGGCUAACUACGUG